Molecule: ribosomal RNA, 460 nt
Filed under: uncultured bacterium
Lineage: Bacteria
Description: partial 16S ribosomal RNA
Rfam family: Bacterial small subunit ribosomal RNA
Source: RNAcentral
CCUACGGGCGGCAGCAGUGAGGAAUAUUGGUCAAUGGACGAAAGGCUGAACCAGCCAAGUAGCGUGAAGGAUGAAGGCCCUAUGGGUUGUAAACUUCUUUUAUAGAGGAAUAAAGGGAGGCACGUGUGGAUAUUUGCAUGUACUCUAUGAAUAAGGAUCGGCUAACUCCGUGCCAGCAGCCGCGGUAAUACGGAGGAUGCGAGCGUUAUCCGGAUUUAUUGGGUUUAAAGGGGGCGUAGGUUGGUUUUUAAGUCAGCUGUGAAAGUUUGUGGCUCAACCGUAAAAUUGCCGUUGAUACUGGCAGUCUUGAGUGUGUUUGAGGUAGGCGGAAUUCGUGGUGUAGCGGUGAAAUGCUUAGAUAUCACGCAGAACCCCGAUUGCGAAGGCAGCUUACUAAGCCGUGACUGACACUGAUGCUCGAAAGCGUGGGUAUCAAACAGGAUUAGAUACCCGUGUAGUC